CUGACGUAGACGCUAUUCCCUGAGAUUAACCCAUGCAUAUCAUUGAAGUUUUAUAAACGGAAAGAUGGACAGCUCAGUAAUACUCACUUAAUUUUAUGUAUUUUGUAUAUAACUACGUUAAAGUGUAGAUAAAAGAAAUACAGUAAGAGUGAGACCUAUCAGCUAGUUGUUAAGGUAAUGGCUUAACAAGGCAUUUACGGGUAACGGUAUUACUUUGUAAUAUUCCGGAGAAGGAGCCUGAGAGAUUGCUACUAAGUCUAAGGAUUGCAGCAGGGGCGAAACUUGACCUAUGGAUAUAUUCUGAGGCAGUUAUGGGAAGUAAUAAUAAUUGUUUCAUAUUGUAAAAAGAUAUGAGUAGAUUAAUUGGAGGGCAAAUCAAGUGCCAGCAGCCGCGGUAAUACUUGUUCCAAGAGUGUGUAUGAUGAUUGAUGCAGUUAAAAAGUCCGUAGUUUAUUAUUAAGAAGCAAUAUGAGGUGUACUGUAUAGUUGGGAGAGAGAUGAAAUGUGAAGACCCUGACUGGACGAACAGAAGCGAAAGCUGUACACUUGUAUGUAUUUAUUGAACAAGGACGUAAGCUGGAGGAUCAAAGAUGAUUAGAUACCAUUGUAGUUCCAGCAGUAAACUAUGCCAACUAUGUGAUAUGUUUUAUAUGUAUUACAUUAUAGAAAUUAGAGUUUUUUGGCUCUGGGGAUAGUAUGAUCGCAAGAUUGAAAAUUAAAGAAAUUGACGGAAGAAUACCACAAGGAGUGGAUUGUGCGGCUUAAUUUGACUCAACGCGAGGGAACUUACCAAUAUUUUAUUAUCUUGAGAGAAUUAUUAAUUUGAGGAUGAUAAUAGUGGUGCAUGGCCGUUUUCAAUGGAUGCUGUGAAGUUUUUGAUUAAUUUCAACAAGACGUGAGACCCUUUUUU
This 910-nucleotide ribosomal RNA is filed under the name Microsporidia sp. MB-2008. RNAcentral's name for it is "SSU rRNA". It matches the Rfam family "Microsporidia small subunit ribosomal RNA", at positions 18 to 969 of the family's 1311-position model. Lineage: Eukaryota; Fungi; Microsporidia. The record is from RNAcentral.